GACGAACGCUGGCGGCGUGCCUAAUACAUGCAAGUAGAACGCUGAAGGAGGAGCUUGCUUCUCUGGAUGAGUUGCGAACGGGUGAGUAACGCGUAGGUAACCUGCCUGGUAGCGGGGGAUAACUAUUGGAAACGAUAGCUAAUACCGCAUAAUAGUAGAUGUCGCAUGACAUUUGCUUAAAAGGUGCAAUUGCAUCACUACCAGAUGGACCUGCGUUGUAUUAGCUAGUUGGUGAGGUAACGGCUCACCAAGGCAACGAUACAUAGCCGACCUGAGAGGGUGAUCGGCCACACUGGGACUGAGACACGGCCCAGACUCCUACGGGAGGCAGCAGUAGGGAAUCUUCGGCAAGGGACGGAAGUCUGACCGAGCAACGCCGCGUGAGUGAAGAAGGUUUUCGGAUCGUAAAGCUCUGUUGUAAGAGAAGAACGAGUGUGAGAGUGGAAAGUUCACACUGUGACGGUAUCUUACCAGAAAGGGACGGCUAACUACGUG
This 495-nucleotide ribosomal RNA is filed under the name uncultured bacterium. RNAcentral's name for it is "partial 16S ribosomal RNA". It matches the Rfam family "Bacterial small subunit ribosomal RNA", at positions 28 to 507 of the family's 1533-position model. The record is from RNAcentral.